GCUCAGGUGCUCGUGGAAGAAGUGGACAUUGAAGUACUUAUCACACAAAUGAGGAUAAAAGUACGAUAGCGAUAUCUACCACGAAGCUGUUGUUCCCCACCAGAACCAAAUGAGCGCAAGAUCUGACAAAGAAAAAAAAAGGUUCAUCUUUUAUUCCUCCAAACACUUUCAUUUAAAUCAAGAGGAUGGGAUGUGGUUAUUGCUGUGUUUUUAGACAGAAUCAACGGUUUCUGGGUCUGAGAUGUUGCAUACACCUUCUCAGUCCCUGUAUCCUGAGAUGGAGUCACCUGAGAAUCCACAGCAAGUCCUAACCAGGGAUGGGUCUGGGUGAUUAAGGAAGGUUGGCUUCAGAACUGGGCCAGGGGCACUGCUUUGCUUUUGCUGUUUUGAUCAGCUCUCUGCCUGAAGGAGACAAGAAAAACCAACGGGAACAGCUGGGGAAACUGAGUUACAGAGCUUGUCUGCACUGAGUCAUCAGGAGCAAAUGCUAGAUCAGAUAGGGUCUCUCUCUCUGCCACCCAGGCCAGAGUGCAGUUGACGCAGGGCAGGGGAGCCCCGAAGUGGAGCAUAGUGUGUCCGGAACUGGUGGGUUCUUGGUCUCACUGACUUCAAGAAAGAAGCCGCGGACCCUCGCGAGACGGGGUCUUGCUCUGUUGCUCAAGCUGGAGUGCAGUAGUGCAAUCACAGCUUAGUGCAGGAUUGACCUCCUGGGUUCAAGAAAUCCUGCCACCUCAGCCUCCUGAGUAGCUGGGACUACAGAAACUCCUGGAGGGCAGAGGCAUGCCUGCCAUCUUCAUCAUUGCAUUACCACCACCCAACACUAUCGGGGGACCUGCCCUGAUAAUCAGUCUACAGGUGUAUCCAGCAGCUCCAGAGAGACAGCGACCAGCGAGAAGGGGCCAUGAUGAUGGAGGUGGUUUUGUCAAAACGAAAAUGGG
RNAcentral lists this long non-coding RNA (938 nucleotides) under Homo sapiens (human). Its description in RNAcentral is "long non-coding RNA NONHSAT215440.1". The record is from RNAcentral. Lineage: Eukaryota; Metazoa; Chordata; Mammalia; Primates; Hominidae.